CACAACUUUCAGAACUAA
RNAcentral lists this small nuclear RNA (18 nucleotides) under Arabidopsis thaliana (thale cress). Its description in RNAcentral is "snRNA_06213". Lineage: Eukaryota; Viridiplantae; Streptophyta; Magnoliopsida; Brassicales; Brassicaceae. The record is from RNAcentral.